AUUCAUUGUGGAUGAAAGCCCUCUUAGAAGAGUAAGGACCCGUGAAAAUAUUACAACAUCUCCAGGAAACGCAUCAAUUGGGUCAAAGCGUUUAAAUUCUUUUUCAUUGAGCUUCAUCUUUUCCUGUAUCGCUUUCAUUUGUUUUGAUUUUUGCUCGGCCAAGUAUUUCAAGUUUUCCUUAAUAAGAUCAUUGUUACAUGACAAGACUUGUUAGGGAAUCCCACAUUGAAAAUAAACAUGGUGAAUGAGCACAUUAUGGUUGAGUUAUAACUUUGGAUUUUCUAGCCAUUUUGAUGUAUGAGCAGCUCAAUCACUUAUAUAUAUCCGCAUUAAAAAUGAAUUAAAGUGUAAUAUGCCUAGUAAACUCUCCCAAUAUAACAACACUUGCUGAAGUUAAAAAGAAAAUACUUGGGAAAGAAUAUAACAAGACUUGAAGUAAAAAAUCUAAGAAAGGGAUAAGUGUAUAUUUACAGAAGCUUCACUUGCUGGUGUUGAAGUGCGAAAAAAUAAAUUAGUUACUGCCAUAGCCUGAUCUGGAAUGUCCA
RNAcentral lists this unclassified non-coding RNA (545 nucleotides) under Hevea brasiliensis (rubber tree). Lineage: Eukaryota; Viridiplantae; Streptophyta; Magnoliopsida; Malpighiales; Euphorbiaceae. The record is from RNAcentral.